This 352-nucleotide unclassified non-coding RNA is filed under the name soil metagenome. RNAcentral describes it as "partial contains 5.8S ribosomal RNA, internal transcribed spacer 2, and large subunit ribosomal RNA". The stretch from base 1 to 120 matches the Rfam family "5.8S ribosomal RNA", at positions 35 to 154 of the family's 154-position model. The record is from RNAcentral.
GAUGAAGAACGUAGCGAAAUGCGAUAAGUAAUGUGAAUUGCAGAAUUCAGUGAAUCAUCGAAUCUUUGAACGCACAUUGCGCCCGCCAGUAUUCUGGCGGGCAUGCCUGUUCGAGCGUCAUUACAACCCUCAGGCCCCCGGGCCUGGCGUUGGGGAUCGGCGGAAGCCCCCUGUGGGCACACGCCGUCCCUCAAAUACAGUGGCGGUCCCGCCGCAGCUUCCAUUGCGUAGUAGCUAACACCUCGCAACUGGAGAGCGGCGCGGCCAUGCCGUAAAACACCCAACUUCUGAACGUUGACCUCGAAUCAGGUAGGAAUACCCGCUGAACUUAAGCAUAUCAAUAAGCGGAGGA